Molecule: ribosomal RNA, 253 nt
Filed under: uncultured bacterium
Lineage: Bacteria
Description: partial 16S ribosomal RNA
Rfam family: Bacterial small subunit ribosomal RNA
Source: RNAcentral
UACGUAGGGUGCGAGCGUUGUCCGGAAUUAUUGGGCGUAAAGGGCUCGUAGGCGGUUUGUCGCGUCUGCUGUGAAAACCCGAGGCUCAACCUCGGGCCUGCAGUGGGUACGGGCAGACUAGAGUGCGGUAGGGGAGAUUGGAAUUCCUGGUGUAGCGGUGGAAUGCGCAGAUAUCAGGAGGAACACCGAUGGCGAAGGCAGGUCUCUGGGCCACUACUGACGCUGAGAAGCGAAAGCAUGGGGAGCGAACAGG